This is a long non-coding RNA of Talpa occidentalis (Iberian mole), 2348 nucleotides long. RefSeq lists it as uncharacterized. The record is from RefSeq and is a predicted model, not a curated record. The transcript has 3 exons. Lineage: Eukaryota; Metazoa; Chordata; Mammalia; Eulipotyphla; Talpidae.
CCAGAAUAACCCUGGGCAGGGGGGAGUGCCUGCCCUGGGGGGCUGGGCCGGGGGCACAGAUGAGUGUGUCCUUCUUCACUGCCCAACUGGGCUGGCCAAUCAGCAGCUCCCAAGGCUGCUCUUGCCUUUCAAGGCAAGUAUCUGGGGCCGAGCUCACGCCACCUGCCAGCUGGGGCCCCGGGCUGACUCCGCCUGACUUUCUCCCGGCCCUCAGUUUCCCCUCAUCUGCAAGGAAGUCGCUGGCGGUGGGGUCUCUUUGCUGCUGUCUCUCAGGGGUCCUGAGAGGUGCCUGAGGGCUGACCCUGGGGAGGAGUGAUGAGGUGGGGUUGGCCGAGCAUGGGGGGCUGAGGGAUGCCCACCCUGCGUGUCUCCCAGCAGCUGCCUGAGUUCUUGGGGGGCCCUCACGUGAUCUCACUUAAGCAGUGCCCCCUCAGGCACACCAAUGGGUGCUUCCUUCAAGCCCUUGCCUGGGUUUGCCAUGUCUGGUGGGCACCCCUGCUCCUGGGGCUGCAGGCCCAGAAAAAGGGAGGCUCUGCGGGGUGGAGGAGGGCGGGGGCUUGGAGGCGAGCGUGGAGGCUCAGCCUUGAUGCUGGAGGAAUGAAGGCCAGGGUGGGUCCGGAUGGCCUCUGUUUCUCCAUUUACAAAGUGGAAGGGACACCUUCCCAGGGGAGACCAGUGUUAGCUUUCGCAGCUGUGAAGACCCGGGGAUUAUUGAUGGGGGCUUUGGAGCAGGAGGCACUGAAAUUUCCCAUUAACCUGGGAGGUGAUGGUGCCUCGCUUGAAAGUGGGUAACCAAGGUCUACAGGGUGGGCCCACUGGGCUGCUGUGAUUGGGGUGGCAAAGGCAUUGGCCCAGUACCACCCGCCUGUGCAGACCCAUGCCCAUGCCAGUGGGGGGCAGAUGCAGGAGGGUCUUCCUUACAGGGUCUCUGGGAUUUAGGUGCACCCCGGUGUCUGCUCUGUGUCAGCUCUGCUCGGCCCAUGACACCCUCACACUCAACAUGCCUCCUUACCAGGAGCGGCACGCUCCCCAGCAUUAGAUUAAAAUUUAGGGUGUCCAAUUUAGGAAAGGGGAGGCAGAACCAGCGUGCAAAGUUGGGCUCCUUGCCCCCCCUCCCCGGUGAGUGGAAAGGCAGGAGCAGAUGCCCCGGUGGGUGGCCUGUGGCCACCAGGGGACCCGAGGGACCCUGGGGUGGAAGAAAUGACUUUCCUUGCAUGGCAUCUGUGCUGUCAGCCUCGUGGCUUGACAGGAGGCCAGACCAGGGGACUGGGGGCCUCCGAGCCUCCUCCAUCUCCCUGAAAAGCUCAUGUGGUCAUUCCCAACUCAUUUUGGCUAAUAUGGUUGUCGGCAAAGGGACAGGACAGCUGGCCCCAGCCCUGCUAAUUAUAGCCGCUUGAGAAUUUGAACAGAUACUGGGUCCACCAUGUCAUGGCUUUUCUUGCAGCAAACUAAUCCUUUAACCUUUCCUCACGAACACCAGCCCCCCCCGGAGGUCAGCACGGGACCCCCAGCCCAAGUCUUACCUUUGAUGAACGUGCUCAGUGGUUCUGCUGUAGUCGCGUCAACAGGAACCUUGCUUCCCUCUGGAAAGUCGCAGGGGAAACGGGGUUAGGAUGGCCUGGGCUUGGGACCUGGGGGUGUCCCAGCAGUGCCAGAGCCCCUUCCAGACGCCCCCUGCCUUCCUCGCCAUCCCUUGCGCUGCUCCCCACUUGGGUCUCUGUGCUGGCUCUUGAGUGCGCUGCACGCACUCAGCCUUAGCACUUUCAGCCUUAGCACAGCCUGGGAGGCGCUCACUUUCAUCGGCCCCAUUUUUCAGAGGAGGAAACCGAGGCUCAGGGACUGAAGUCACCCCAUGGCACUGAGGUUAUCAGUGCAUCUGCCCAGGCCGGUGGCUUCAGGGCCACCGCCGAGUUUCGUCCUGCCCUUGGCGUCAGUCUGCCCUGCUGCUCCUCAUUCCACCCAUUGGGGCUGCCCCCCACACACUAGGGAUGCUGGCGGGCAGGGGGCCUUAGGUAGGUCCCGAGUGGGUGGGCUGCGCCUGGCCGUGGCCCUGGUGCGUGCUCUCUCCUCCCUUCCCAGGUGGCGUGGAGGGGAGAGGCGCUUUCUCCCAGGAAGGGACCAAGGUCCGGCCCGGGAUCCAGAAAAAGACUGGUGCUCACUGCCCCCCCGAUGGGCAGUGAGUCGUGGCUCCUGGCAGAGGCGUGGUGCCCAGGAUGGUGGGCACUUGUAUGCGGUGGCACAGUGGGACAGAAAGCCUGGACCUGCACUCCUCAUCCCAUGCCCGUUCCAGCUUCAGCCAGCUGGCAGCAUUGCCAGGGCCUGGGAAGUGGGCGCUGAGGCUUACUGAG